GGGAAGCCGCGGUUUCUCGCCCAGCUCCUCCAAAAGGCCGCCGGCUUCGAGAGGUGGGCGGCCCCGCGAAGGUCACCGCCGGCUCCCAGGUCCCACGGGCGCUCGGCCCCUCGGCCGGCCUAGGACGCCCCUGCGCACCCUCUCCCGGGGAGGCCACGGUUCCUGCCCGCAGCUUUUUCCAUAAAACGAUGUUGCUUUGACAUUAGCGCUGACAUGGAGGGGAGGGUACCGGAUGCAUUCCCCUGACGUGCGCCCUGUUACAUUCCUACCAGUGGUUCCCUGCUGCGACCUCGAACACCUCACAGAACCCCUCUGGGCCUCAGCGUCCUCUCUGUGAGUGGGGGCAACGACAGCGCCUCCACACAGAAGGUUGAAACUGCCCCAAUGAAGAGGGAGGCUGUUGCAUAAGAACAGGACGUGGAGUUGGCAGGUGUCGGCCGCCGAUGGAAAUAGCUCUCCAAAAGUUUCUCCUUUUUGGUUUCCGCAAAUUCAUGUAGGAAGACGUCUAUAAAAGUCACCCCUGGUCUGGGAGUGUGGCUGGCUCAGCUGAAGAGCCCUUGUUUGUCAGGGGUGGGGGCCGGGGUUGGAUCCUCAGCACUGCAAAGAAAGAGGAAAAAAGCCGACUCUGCACACUGAGUGUGACUCCUGAGAUGAGCUGGGUGAGGGAAUGACCAGACAGGGCAGGGAGGAGCACAGGAGCCUCCAGCUCCCCAACCGGGAGGGUAAGGCAGGGCCGUGUGGGGGUGUCACUGCACAAAAGAGAAGCAGGUGCAGGUGCAGGUGCAGGGACUUGGGAGUGUCUGCCUGCCCCGCUAGUUAACGAAGGGCCUUCCUUCCUGCGGCACCUGGUCCUGUGGUCCCUGCUAAUUUCCACAGGGCCCCAGCCUGUCUGUGUGCCAGUCCUCACUCCCAGAAUUGAAGUGAGGUCCAGCUGCUCCUGACACUGCCCUGCAAGAGAAGAAACCAACCAACCUUUGCUCUGGACCCUGGUAAAGGACGACGCACUGCAGGGCCCAGGCUCUUCCACCUGAAAGGGGAGGUGGGGUGCACCUGGAGAGAGCAGGAGCAGCCUGCAAAUGUCUCCCCAGUUGCAUGGACCUGCUCAGGUGUGGAGCCCCACAGCCGACCGGAGAAGCCUCAGAGGUGGUGAGCUCCCCGUCAGGAGCCCUGGGAGGAGUUCGCCUCCUGUGAUGUGAUGCUGAGGAAGAGCGCCCACGUCAGAGGCAGGGCUGGACUCGGUGUUUCCUCAGCUUAGUUUUGGAUUAUAUCCCCUGAAAUUGUUAUUUGGACAAAUUUUUUCCUUUAGCCACUUGUAUUUUAUUAAAAGGGUAGGUUUACUUUAAAGAAGGCAAUUCAGUGUCAAUUACAGACAGGUCACCAUAAAAAUAGAUAAAACAAAAGGGUAUUAAAUUCUCACCUGCCUGCUGAGGGCCUGAGCCCCAGGCUGACCUCAGACCCCACCAGAUAUUUCCCAGGAUUCCUUGCACCAUCUUAAAGGUAAGUCCAC
RNAcentral lists this long non-coding RNA (1507 nucleotides) under Marmota monax (woodchuck). Lineage: Eukaryota; Metazoa; Chordata; Mammalia; Rodentia; Sciuridae. The record is from RNAcentral.